AAUGUUUGUUUGAAGACGUAUCUACGUGAAGGAACAGAAAAUUACCUGACUUACUAAAGCAAGAGUGAACUCCGAAAAAUCAAGAGUGAACUCCGAAAAAUGUUAGUACAAGUCACAGUGAUUCAAUAUUUCAAAACAGAUUUGUUCAACGGCAUAAU
Molecule: long non-coding RNA, 158 nt
Organism: Anneissia japonica
Lineage: Eukaryota; Metazoa; Echinodermata; Crinoidea; Comatulida; Comatulidae
Exons: 3
Source: RefSeq, a predicted model, not a curated record